This 471-nucleotide ribosomal RNA is filed under the name uncultured bacterium. RNAcentral describes it as "partial 16S ribosomal RNA". It matches the Rfam family "Bacterial small subunit ribosomal RNA", at positions 28 to 507 of the family's 1533-position model. The record is from RNAcentral.
GACGAACGCUGGCGGCGUGCUUAACACAUGCAAGUCGAACGAUGAAGCCUAGCUUGCUAGGUGGAUUAGUGGCGAACGGGUGAGUAAUACGUGAGUAACCUACCUUUAACUCUGGGAUAAGCCUGGGAAACUGGGUCUAAUACCGGAUACGACCAAUCUCCGCAUGGGGUGUUGGUGGCAAGCGUUAUGUAGUGGUUAUAGAUGGGCUCACGGCCUAUCAGCUUGUUGGUGAGGUAACGGCUCACCAAGGCGACGACGGGUAGCCGACCUGAGAGGGUGAACGGCCACACUGGGACUGAGACACGGACCAGACUCGUACGGGAGGCAGCAGUGGAGAAUAUUGCACAAUGGGCGCAAGCCUGAUGCAGAGACGCCGCGUGAGGGAUGACGGCUUUCGGGUUGUAAACCUCUGUUAGCAGGGAAGAAGAGAAAUUGACGGUACCUGAAGAGAAAGCGCCGGCUAACUACGUG